UACGGAGGGUGCAAGCGUUAUCCGGAUUUAUUGGGUUUAAAGGGUCCGUAGGCGGACGUAUAAGUCAGUGGUGAAAUCCUACAGCUUAACUGUAGAACUGCCAUUGAUACUGUAUGUCUUGAAUUCGGUUGAAGUGGGCGGAAUAUGACAUGUAGCGGUGAAAUGCUUAGAUAUGUCAUAGAACACCGAUUGCGAAGGCAGCUCACUAAGCCUGGAUUGACGCUGAGGGACGAAAGCGUGGGUAGCGAACAGG
RNAcentral lists this unclassified non-coding RNA (253 nucleotides) under uncultured Flavobacteriales bacterium. RNAcentral describes it as "contains 16S-23S intergenic spacer region". It matches the Rfam family "Bacterial small subunit ribosomal RNA", at positions 524 to 776 of the family's 1533-position model. Lineage: Bacteria; Pseudomonadati; Bacteroidota; Flavobacteriia; Flavobacteriales. The record is from RNAcentral.